Molecule: transfer RNA, 75 nt
Filed under: Geothrix sp.
Lineage: Bacteria; Pseudomonadati; Acidobacteriota; Holophagae; Holophagales; Holophagaceae
Also listed under: 7 other names
Description: tRNA-Gln
Rfam family: tRNA
About the family: Transfer RNA (tRNA) molecules are approximately 80 nucleotides in length. Their secondary structure includes four short double-helical elements and three loops (D, anti-codon, and T loops). Further hydrogen bonds mediate the characteristic L-shaped molecular structure. tRNAs have two regions of fundamental functional importance: the anti-codon, which is responsible for specific mRNA codon recognition, and the 3' end, to which the tRNAs corresponding amino acid is attached (by aminoacyl-tRNA synthetases). tRNAs cope with the degeneracy of the genetic code in two manners: having more than one tRNA (with a specific anti-codon) for a particular amino acid; and 'wobble' base-pairing, i.e. permitting non-standard base-pairing at the 3rd anti-codon position.
Source: RNAcentral
UGGGGAGUAGCCAAGUGGUAAGGCAGCAGGUUUUGAUCCUGCGUAUCGAGGGUUCGAAUCCUUCCUCCCCAACCA